Molecule: long non-coding RNA, 547 nt
Filed under: Mytilus galloprovincialis (Mediterranean mussel)
Lineage: Eukaryota; Metazoa; Mollusca; Bivalvia; Mytilida; Mytilidae
Source: RNAcentral
AAACAAGCUUCACACAGUUUACAUCAAUCAUAUUGUUUUUUUUUAUUAGUACCUGUUUCCCUGUGAUGAGAGUUGUAACUGGGAACUUUAUCAAUGGAAAGUUAAAACUGAAUAGAUUUUUCAGUCCAAACUUUCUUAAGAAAAAACUUAAAAAUCUAAGAGUACUGUCACAAAAAAUGGAAAAUGGCCCUAGCCUGCAGUUCAGUGGUACACAAUUAAGAUUUCAAAAAAUAUUGUAGUUGUUGUGAAAUGACAGAAUUCGGUUGAAAUUUAGAUAAUUAACUAUCAACUUUAAUCAUAUGUUUAGAUUUAGAAGAUGCAGAUCUCUUCCAUUGGUCCAAAUUGAAUCCUAAACUAAGGAAACGAAAUUACAUUAAACAACAAUUGAUUUCAAUAUCGUCAACCUUUCUACAUGUUCUAGCUGUUCUUUUUUUCAUUCUUUAUAUGAAGACUAUCAAAAGAUACCCCCCCCCCCCCUUUUCCAAAAAAAUUAAUUAAAUAGAAACAAGGGCCGUCUUUCCCCUCAGAGCUAUUCAGCUCUUUGAUU